GAAAUGCGAUAAGUAAUGUGAAUUGCAGAAUUCAGUGAAUCAUCGAAUCUUUGAACGCACAUUGCGCCCGCCAGUAUUCUGGCGGGCAUGCCUGUUCGAGCGUCAUUUCAACCAUCAAGCCCCCGGCUUGUGUUGGGGACCUGCGGCUGCCCGCAGGCCCUGAAAAACAGUGGCGGGCUCGCUGUCACCCCGAGCGUAGUAGCAUACAUUCUCGCUCAGGGCGUGCUGCGGGUUCCGGCCGUUAAACGACCUUCAUAACCCAAGGUUGACCUCGGAUCAGGUAGGAAGACCCGCUGAACUUAAGC
This 305-nucleotide unclassified non-coding RNA is filed under the name plant metagenome. Its description in RNAcentral is "partial contains 5.8S ribosomal RNA, internal transcribed spacer 2, and large subunit ribosomal RNA". The stretch from base 1 to 105 matches the Rfam family "5.8S ribosomal RNA", at positions 50 to 154 of the family's 154-position model. The record is from RNAcentral.